This 673-nucleotide ribosomal RNA is filed under the name uncultured Gammaproteobacteria bacterium. RNAcentral describes it as "bacterial SSU rRNA". It matches the Rfam family "Bacterial small subunit ribosomal RNA", at positions 85 to 791 of the family's 1533-position model. Lineage: Bacteria; Pseudomonadati; Pseudomonadota; Gammaproteobacteria. The record is from RNAcentral.
UGCGAGUAGAGUGGCGGACGGGUGAGUAAUACAUGGGAAUCUACCUAGUAGUGGGGGACAACCCGGGGAAACUCGGGCUAAUACCGCAUACGCCCUACGGGGGAAAGGCUUCGGCCGCUAUUAGAUGAGCCCAUGUCGGAUUAGCUUGUUGGUGGGGUAAUGGCCUACCAAGGCGACGAUCCGUAGUUGGUUUGAGAGGACGAUCAGCCACACUGGGACUGAGACACGGCCCAGACUCCUACGGGAGGCAGCAGUGGGGAAUAUUGGACAAUGGGCGAAAGCCUGAUCCAGCAAUGCCGCGUGUGUGAAGAAGGCCUGCGGGUUGUAAAGCACUUUCAGUAGGGAAGAUAAUGACGGUACCUACAGAAGAAGCACCGGCUAACUCUGUGCCAGCAGCCGCGGUAAUACAGAGGGUGCAAGCGUUAAUCGGAAUUACUGGGCGUAAAGCGCGCGUAGGCGGUUUGUUAAGUCGGAUGUGAAAGCCCCGGGCUCAACCUGGGAAUUGCAUUCGAUACUGGCAGGCUAGAGUAUGGUAGAGGGAAGUGGAAUUCCAGGUGUAGCGGUGAAAUGCGUAGAUAUCUGGAAGAACACCAGUGGCGAAGGCGACUUCCUGGACCAAUACUGACGCUGAGGUGCGAAAGCGUGGGGAGCGAACAGGAUUAGAUACCCUGGU